AUUCCAUGAUGUGGCCAUUUUCAUAAUAAUUAUUUGUACCUUUCCCAUGCCUCAUCCAAGGACUUAUCAUGCAAUUGUUGGAAAGUAGUGAUCUCGUUCCUCAACUU
Non-coding RNA from Gossypium arboreum, 107 nucleotides. Lineage: Eukaryota; Viridiplantae; Streptophyta; Magnoliopsida; Malvales; Malvaceae. The record is from Rfam.